This 377-nucleotide ribosomal RNA is filed under the name uncultured organism. Its description in RNAcentral is "bacterial LSU rRNA". It matches the Rfam family "Bacterial large subunit ribosomal RNA", at positions 2112 to 2486 of the family's 2925-position model. The record is from RNAcentral.
CGAAUUGCGAUGAUUGGACUUUAUUUGCGCAGUAUAGGUGGGAGACGUUGAUAAUAUUCUUGCGGGAAUAUUGGAGUCAUCAGUGAGAUACCACUCUUGUAAUGUUAGAUUUCUAACUUUGUAUCAUUAUCUGGUCAAAGAACAGUUUCAGGCGGGCAGUUUGACUGGGGCGGUCGCCUCCCAAACGGUAACGGAGGCGCACAAAGGUUUCCUCUGAACGUGUAGAAAUCGUAUCUAGAGUGUAAAGGCAUAAGGAAGCUUGACUGUGAGACCUACAAGUCGAGCAGGGACGAAAGUCGGUCUUAGUGAUCUGACGGUGCUGAGUGGAAAGGCCGUCACUCAACGGAUAAAAGUUACUCUAGGGAAACCAGGCUGAA